CACGUAGGGCGCAAGCGUUGUCCGGAAUUAUUGGGCGUAAAGAGCUCGUAGGCGGUCCGUCACGUCCGCUGUGAAAACCCAGGGCUCAACCCUGGGCUUGCAGUGGAUACGGGCAGACUAGAGGUAGGUAGGGGAGAAUGGAAUUCCCGGUGUAGCGGUGAAAUGCGUAGAUAUCUGGAGGAACACCGGUGGCGAAGGCGGCGUCCUGGACCAACACUGACACUGAUGAGCGAAAGCCAGGGGAGCAAACGGG
RNAcentral lists this ribosomal RNA (253 nucleotides) under uncultured bacterium. Its description in RNAcentral is "partial 16S ribosomal RNA". It matches the Rfam family "Bacterial small subunit ribosomal RNA", at positions 524 to 776 of the family's 1533-position model. The record is from RNAcentral.